AAUUUUCAUGUACCUAGGGGGGUAUAAAUAACCCCUUCAGCCUAAUUUUCAUAAUUUCUCAUCCAUUCGUAGGAAUAAAAUUGUGAGUCCUUUUUCCUUGGAUAAAUAUUAAUUAUGCAAUUUUCCUUCAAAUUUAUGGUAAGCUUCCUUCACUUUCAUGGUUUCUUUACCCUUUACUCCAUCAAAAAUUCCGAAACCUUAGUGACUUGAUUUUGC
This 216-nucleotide long non-coding RNA is filed under the name Capsicum annuum. RNAcentral's name for it is "long non-coding RNA (CANN_LNC012456)". The record is from RNAcentral. Lineage: Eukaryota; Viridiplantae; Streptophyta; Magnoliopsida; Solanales; Solanaceae.